RNAcentral lists this long non-coding RNA (1128 nucleotides) under Oryctolagus cuniculus (rabbit). RNAcentral's name for it is "lncRNA (ENSOCUG00000039597.1)". The record is from RNAcentral. Lineage: Eukaryota; Metazoa; Chordata; Mammalia; Lagomorpha; Leporidae.
AUGAUUCCAUUCCUUCUGUCGGAUGUGCGGUUCUGUUCUGUUCCUUGUUUCCGGAAGUGGCGGCCGCCGCCGCAUCCCCCUCUCCCGGCCCCUGGGACCUGGCCCCCCCGAGAGGCGCCCGAGCUGCCUGUGGCCCGUGGCUGGCCGCUGGCACAGGUGCAGCCCCGUCUCACGGCACAGCGGCAGCACACCGUCCCCGCGGCGACCUGCACAGCAGCCCAGCAGAAGGAGAACAGGGCCCCCCAGCGCCCCCAGGCUCAGGCAGCCCCUGAGGACAGAGUCUGCGCCACUCAGAGGUCGUCCUCGCUCGCCAGCAGCCCCCUGCGGGACACCUGGAAGUUGCUGGACCUGGGUUCCAGUCCUUCCAGCCUCACCUCCCUGGAUGGCGCCACGGCAGGUUCUUCAAGAACCAGCAACACACUCGGUGGCUCAUACUUGAGAGUUAAUGGCGUAGACAUUACCGAGAGGAAGAAGUCCCCUAGAGAGACACGGGGUCCCAGACAGGCUGGCAGACCUGCGCCCAGAGGAGUCCGGCGAGAGGCAGGCGGCUGCCGCCGCCACACACGCUGGCUGACUUCUCCGGCCUCCCUGCUGUGCCGGGGACAGGAGCCGCCGCCUGCGCGUGCAACAGAGACUUCUCAGGCAAGACCACGGGGCUCGGGCGGCGAGGCUGUGACCGGCGGUCACAGUGCCAGCUGGGACACCUGCGUCCCACGGUGCGCUGCCCAGCUUCCUGCUGGUGGGCCUCGUGGGAGGCCCAGAUGGCGCUCCCGGCCCAGCCACUACAGGCCCUCGGGGAGCAGCCAGCGGGGGGAGGAAGAUCUCUCCCUGCCUCUCCGGUUUUCAGGGUGUGCUGGGGCAGAGCGCGAAGCGCGCCAGGGUGCCUGGUCCCUUAUCAGAUGCCAGCGUGAGUCCCACUCCCCUGCUUCGGAUCCAGCUCCUGCCCUCGCACCUGGGCGGCCGUGGAAGCUGGCCCCAUGCUGCCGCACCCACGGGGGAGACCUGGAAGGAGCUCCUGGCUUCCGGCUUUGGACCAGCCCAGCUCCAGCCGUUGUGGCCAGUGGGAGUGACCCAGCGGGUGGAGGACCUUCUGCCCCCUCCCCCACCAGAGCUCUGCCUUUCAAAUAA